Molecule: ribosomal RNA, 456 nt
Filed under: Pseudomonas sp. LNE12
Lineage: Bacteria; Pseudomonadati; Pseudomonadota; Gammaproteobacteria; Pseudomonadales; Pseudomonadaceae
Description: bacterial SSU rRNA
Rfam family: Bacterial small subunit ribosomal RNA
Source: RNAcentral
UGCUCAGAUUGAACGCUGGCGGCAGGCCUAACACAUGCAAGUCGAGCGGUAGAGAGAAGCUUGCUUCUCUUGAGAGCGGCGGACGGGUGAGUAAUGCCUAGGAAUCUGCCUGGUAGUGGGGGAUAACGUUCGGAAACGGACGCUAAUACCGCAUACGUCCUACGGGAGAAAGCAGGGGACCUUCGGGCCUUGCGCUAUCAGAUGAGCCUAGGUCGGAUUAGCUAGUUGGUGGGGUAAUGGCUCACCAAGGCGACGAUCCGUAACUGGUCUGAGAGGAUGAUCAGUCACACUGGAACUGAGACACGGUCCAGACUCCUACGGGAGGCAGCAGUGGGGAAUAUUGGACAAUGGGCGAAAGCCUGAUCCAGCCAUGCCGCGUGUGUGAAGAAGGUCUUCGGAUUGUAAAGCACUUUAAGUUGGGAGGAAGGGUUGUAGAUUAAUCUCUCAAUUUGACGU